RNAcentral lists this ribosomal RNA (287 nucleotides) under Alexandrium catenella. Its description in RNAcentral is "partial 28S ribosomal RNA". It matches the Rfam family "Eukaryotic large subunit ribosomal RNA", at positions 43 to 330 of the family's 3401-position model. The record is from RNAcentral. Lineage: Eukaryota; Dinophyceae; Gonyaulacales; Pyrocystaceae.
UAAGUAAGUGGUGGAAAUUAAACCAAAUGGGAUAUCUUUAGUAAUUGCGAAUGAACAAGGAUAUGCUUAGCUUGACAAAUGGAGCUAUUGGCUUUGAAUUGUAUUUGUGGAAUGUAUUACCAACAGAGGUGCAGGUGCCAGCCUAUUAAAUAAAGCGUCAAUGAGGGUGAGAAUCCUGUUUGUCAUGUGCAGCCCUUUGUGCACGGUGUAUAUUUGCUGAGUCACACUCCUUGGCAUUGGAAUGCAAAGUGGGUGGUAAGUUUCAUGUACAGGUAAACAUGCAAUUG